Molecule: ribosomal RNA, 253 nt
Filed under: uncultured bacterium
Lineage: Bacteria
Description: partial 16S ribosomal RNA
Rfam family: Bacterial small subunit ribosomal RNA
Source: RNAcentral
UACGUAGGGGGCAAGCGUUGUCCGGAUUUAUUGGGCGUAAAGAGCGUGUAGGCGGCCAGGUAGGUCAGCUGUGAAAACUCGAGGCUCAACUUCGAGAGGUCGGUUGAAACCAUCUGGCUAGAGUCCGGAAGAGGAGAGUGGAAUUCCCGGUGUAGCGGUGAAAUGCGCAGAUAUCGGGAAUAACACCCGUGGCGAAGGCGGCUCUCUGGGACGGUACUGACCCUGAGACGCGAAAGCGUGGGGAGCGAACAGG